AACAGGAUUAGAUACCCUGGUAGUCCACACAGUAAACGAUGAAUACUCGCUGUUUGCGAUAUACAGUAAGCGGCCAAGCGAAAGCAUUAAGUAUUCCACCUGGGGAGUACGCCGGCAACGGUGAAACUCAAAGGAAUUGACGGGGGCCCGCACAAGCGGAGGAACAUGUGGUUUAAUUCGAUGAUACGCGAGGAACCUUACCCGGGCUUGAAUUGCAGAGGAAUAUAGUUGAAAGAUUAUCGCCGCAAGGUCUCUGUGAAGGUGCUGCAUGGUUGUCGUCAGCUCGUGCCGUGAGGUGUCGGCUUAAGUGCCAUAACGAGCGCAACCCUUAUCAUUAGUUACUAACAGGUCAUGCUGAGGACUCUAGUGAGACUGCCGUCGUAAGAUGUGAGGAAGGUGGGGAUGACGUCAAAUCAGCACGGCCCUUACGUCCGGGGCUACACACGUGUUACAAUGGGGGGUACAGAGGGCAGCUACCGGGCGACCGGAUGCCAAUCCCAAAAACCUCUCUCAGUUCGGAUCGAAGUCUGCAACCCGACUUCGUGAAGCUGGAUUCGCUAGUAAUCGCGCAUCAGCCACGGCGCGGUGAAUACGUUCCCGGGCCUUGUACACACCGCCCGUCAAGCCAUGGGAGCCGGGGGCACCUGAAGUACGUAACCGCAAGGAGCGUCCUAGGGUGAAACUGGUGACUGGGGCUAAGUCGUAACAAGGUAACC
This 716-nucleotide ribosomal RNA is filed under the name uncultured bacterium. RNAcentral's name for it is "bacterial SSU rRNA". It matches the Rfam family "Bacterial small subunit ribosomal RNA", at positions 771 to 1501 of the family's 1533-position model. The record is from RNAcentral.